Molecule: ribosomal RNA, 493 nt
Filed under: uncultured bacterium
Lineage: Bacteria
Description: bacterial SSU rRNA
Rfam family: Bacterial small subunit ribosomal RNA
Source: RNAcentral
AUGAACGCUAGCGGCAGGCUUAAUACAUGCAAGUUGAGGGGCAGCAUGAUAUACGCGAGUAUAUUGAUGGCGACCGGCGGACGGGUGAGUAAUAGGUAGGAGACCUACCUCAUACAGGGGGAUAGCAUAGAGAAAUCUGUGGUAAUACCCCAUGAGGUUAUAUGAAUAGAGGCAUAUAAUCAAAGCAUAAGUGAUUAUGCGGUAUGAGAGGGGCCUACUGACCAUUAGCUAGUUGGUGAGGUAAGGGCUCACCAAGGCGAAGAUGGUUAGGGGUUUUGAGAGAGAGACCCCCCACAUUGGAACUGAGAGACGGUCCAGACUCCUACGGGAGGCAGCAGUAGGGAAUAUUGGGCAAUGGGCGAAAGCCUGACCCAGCCAUGCCGCGUGAAGGAAGGCGGCCCUAAGGGUUGUAAACUUCUUUUGUAAGGGAAUAAAGUGCGUUACGUGUAGUGCAUUGCAAGUACCUUACGAAUAAGGAUCGGCUAACUCCGUG